Molecule: long non-coding RNA, 672 nt
Organism: Heterocephalus glaber (naked mole-rat)
Lineage: Eukaryota; Metazoa; Chordata; Mammalia; Rodentia; Bathyergidae
Source: Ensembl
UGGCAUUGUGGUGGGGGAAGUUGUCAGCAAGCUGUAAGGGAGGGGCCAAUCUUUUGACCUCCCACACUUUCCCUCAUAAAGAUCCCACCACUUCCCAGCAACUUGUCACUGAAGACCAAGCUUCCAAUAUAUGAACCAUAGCCAGACAUCACAGGAGUCAUCUCAAGUGUGAUCGCAUUGGGCCACUUGGACAAUCUUGGAGUCUCCCCAUCUCACGAUCCUUAACUGCAUUACAUUUGCAAAGACCCUUCUACCAUGUAAAGCAACAUAUUCAUGGGCUCUGAGAAUUGGGAAGUGGAUAUAUUUGGGGAAGUCGAUUUUUAUCCUACCAGAGAUUUGCAUCCUGUACAUUUUGAAUGUUUAGAAACAAGAUUUCUAAACUCUGCUAAAGUCUACUGGAAAAAAUGGAUUUGUUUGUUAAGCAGGCUCAUGGCUGCGGCUUGUCCAGGAUGCACUCAGAAGAGAUUAAAAAGGGGAAAAAUGAGGAGACCACCCACAUCUUCUGCCCCAGAAGGGUCCCUCCUUCCAGUCUUCUGAGCAGAAAAGGAAAGUUUCUCCUGGAGCUUUCUCCAUCAGUGCCUGCUGUGCAAUUCUGGGAUUUGGGCCACCUGGAGACUGAGCUGGGAGAAUUGAAAGCUAAAGAAAAUUAAACCAGGAAACUGCUAUACUGGC